AGUGUAGAUUCAGAGUUUGAUCCUGGCUCAGAUUGAACGCUGGCGGCAUGCCUUACACAUGCAAGUCGAACGGUAACAGGUUAAGCUGACGAGUGGCGAACGGGUGAGUAAUAUAUCGGAACGUGCCCAGUCGUGGGGGAUAACUGCUCGAAAGAGCAGCUAAUACCGCAUACGACCUGAGGGUGAAAGCGGGGGAUCGCAAGACCUCGCGCGAUUGGAGCGGCCGAUAUCAGAUUAGGUAGUUGGUGGGGUAAAGGCCCACCAAGCCAACGAUCUGUAGCUGGUCUGAGAGGACGACCAGCCACACUGGGACUGAGACACGGCCCAG
Molecule: ribosomal RNA, 328 nt
Filed under: uncultured bacterium
Lineage: Bacteria
Description: bacterial SSU rRNA
Rfam family: Bacterial small subunit ribosomal RNA
Source: RNAcentral